UCACCUUAGAAUGUUAGGAAUAUUACAUCCCACGAGAACCGACUACAAUCUAAUUACACUAACAAAUAGAUGCAAAAUAAAAUUAAUAUUGAACUGAUUUAAUAUGAGUAGAAAAUUAAUAUUAAAACUAUUCUAGCUUAUAGAUCGGAGGCAUGCAAAGUACUGCCCUAAGGCAAUUUUCAACUCUUGUGUGGGAUUUGACUCAAGUGAUCUAUCCUAAAAUACAAUCGAAGGACCUUCCUGGUGGGCAUGAUCGUGGAGAGAAAGACAGAGCCUCGACCCAGCAGAUAAAAGAUUAAAAAUUAAAAAAAAAAAAUAGAAGAAAGAUCUCUAAAGAAUGAGAGAAUAACCGAGAGAAGGGAGGAAGAGAGUUCUUUCUUUCU
RNAcentral lists this long non-coding RNA (383 nucleotides) under Elaeis guineensis (African oil palm). RNAcentral's name for it is "long non-coding RNA (EGUI_LNC024572)". The record is from RNAcentral. Lineage: Eukaryota; Viridiplantae; Streptophyta; Magnoliopsida; Arecales; Arecaceae.